Molecule: microRNA precursor, 144 nt
Filed under: Gossypium hirsutum (cotton)
Lineage: Eukaryota; Viridiplantae; Streptophyta; Magnoliopsida; Malvales; Malvaceae
Also listed under: 1 other name
Description: MIR7502 microRNA precursor family
Rfam family: MIR7502 microRNA precursor family
Source: Rfam by way of RNAcentral
UAUUAAAAAUUUCAUUCAUUUUUGUUGUUAAAAACAAAUGUGAAUGACGAAAUAACCAGAUAACUGCAUGUGACGUGUCACAUGUACCUCGUGUUGAUUACAUGGACCAAUUUUUAAUAAUAACAAUGGAUAAUUUUUUUAACA